RNAcentral lists this long non-coding RNA (665 nucleotides) under Sinocyclocheilus grahami. Its description in RNAcentral is "lncRNA (ENSSGRG00000054572.1)". Lineage: Eukaryota; Metazoa; Chordata; Actinopteri; Cypriniformes; Cyprinidae. The record is from RNAcentral.
GUGAAGACACGUUGCCAGAACCAGCUGAAGCGGAGGAGGAGUCGCAGCGACCGUAUGGCGAGCCGGGCGAGGGCCCGCAGGAGCACAACGGGCAGAACCGGCCGAGCGGAGCACAGCAGCGGCCUCUGUGAAAUUCACUUUCUCCCUCUGGUUGUGGGAGUGAAAGAUAGCAACCGAACCCAACGCCUGCACUGUAUCACCCAGACUUUGCCAGAUGCCCGCAGCCUUUGCCACUGACCAGUCCCAGCACACCCAUCUCCAGCUGUGAGCUCAAUAAAAACACCCGCCGGUGCCAUCAGCAACGCCUGGCCACACACCUGUCCUGCCGCCUCUACCAGACCUGUGAUCAUGCUGUUCUCCUGUCAGGUGGCUGGCAGAAGCAGAUAACAUACCAACAACAUGCAAAGAACUUGCAGCUCUUCUACCAGAUGCUGAGGAACAACGGCUUCCACAAGGACCACAUAAAGACAUUCUUUGCUGGGAAUGGACAGGUAGCAGCUAAAGAGACUGAGGGGAUGUAUCCAGCCACCGAGAAAGAGGUGAUCAGGAAUCACAUUUCGUACAUCUGCCGGAAGCAGCACUGUGUGGAUUCUCUGGUUCUGUACCUGAACAGCCCCACAUGCAACGACGGCACCAUGCUGCUCUGGGACCGCAAUAACAACGGC